Molecule: ribosomal RNA, 448 nt
Filed under: uncultured Haliscomenobacter sp.
Lineage: Bacteria; Pseudomonadati; Bacteroidota; Saprospiria; Saprospirales; Haliscomenobacteraceae
Description: bacterial SSU rRNA
Rfam family: Bacterial small subunit ribosomal RNA
Source: RNAcentral
GAUGAACGCUAGCGGGAGGCCUAAUACAUGCAAGUCGAGCGGUAUAGUACUUCGGUACUAGAGAGCGGCGCACGGGUGAGUAACGCGUACAUGACCUACCUUUAAGACUGGGAUAGCCCUGGGAAACUGGGAUUAAUACCGGAUGUGAUUAUAGAUAUAGAGAUUUAUAAUUAAAGAUGAGUCGCUUAGAGAUGGAUGUGCGUCUGAUUAGCUAGUUGGUAGAGUAACGGCCUACCAAGGCUACGAUCAGUAGGGGGCGUGAGAGCGUGGCCCCCCACACGGGUACUGAGACACGGACCCGACUCCUACGGGAGGCAGCAGUAAGGAAUAUUGGUCAAUGGGCGGAAGCCUGAACCAGCCAUCCCGCGUGCAGGAUGAAGGUCCUAUGGAUUGUAAACUGCUUUUAGCAGAGAAGAAAAGCAGUCAUUUAUGAUUGUCUGACGGUAUC